AUCGCGUGGACGAGAUGAGCACGCCACGCAGACCACCAGGACAGCGAUGAAGACGAGAGAGGAAGCAAUAUGCAGUAACGUUAUUUCAGCGAGUAGCAGACGGUCAAUAUCUGUGGUCAGUGAAGCAUGUUCCUGUGCAAUAUGCCAGCAAAGUUACUUUACUUUAAUGCAGCCUACCUA
This is a long non-coding RNA of Oncorhynchus masou masou (cherry salmon), 180 nucleotides long. RefSeq lists it as uncharacterized. The transcript is spliced from 3 exons. The record is from RefSeq and is a predicted model, not a curated record. NCBI's taxonomy places the organism in Eukaryota, Metazoa, Chordata, Actinopteri, Salmoniformes, Salmonidae.